CUAGAGUUCUGGGCCGCACGCGCGCUACACUGACGGAGCCAGCGAGCUUUUCCUUAACCGAGAGGUUUGGGUAAUCUUGUGAAACUCCGUCGUGCUGGGGAUAGAGCAUUGUAAUUAUUGCUCUUCAACGAGGAAUUCCUAGUAAGCGCAAGUCAUCAGCUUGCGUUGAUUACGUCCCUGCCCUUUGUACACACCGCCCGUCGCUAGUACCGAUUGAAUGGCUUAGUGAGGCUUCAGGAUUUGCUUAGAUCGAGGGGCAACUCUCUUUCAGAGCGGAGAAUCUAGUCAAACUUGGUCAUUUAGAGGAACUAAAAGUCGUAACAAGGUUUCCGUAGGUGAACCUGCGGAAGGAUCAUUAGAUUGAAUUAUCAUUGUUGCUCGAGUUCUUGUUUUAAAUCUUUUACAACUAAGGGGUAUCUUUAU
RNAcentral lists this ribosomal RNA (423 nucleotides) under Saccharomycodaceae sp. LM401. RNAcentral's name for it is "bacterial SSU rRNA". The stretch from base 1 to 358 matches the Rfam family "Eukaryotic small subunit ribosomal RNA", at positions 1473 to 1831 of the family's 1831-position model. The record is from RNAcentral. Lineage: Eukaryota; Fungi; Ascomycota; Saccharomycetes; Saccharomycodales; Saccharomycodaceae.